GGAGGGUUCGCCUAGUGGCCGAUGGCGCUGGUCUUGAAAACCGGUAAGGCAGCGAUGUCUUCGUGGGUUCGAAUCCCACACCCUCCGCCC
RNAcentral lists this transfer RNA (90 nucleotides) under Micromonospora chalcea. RNAcentral's name for it is "tRNA-Ser". It matches the Rfam family "tRNA". From Rfam's summary of the family: Transfer RNA (tRNA) molecules are approximately 80 nucleotides in length. Their secondary structure includes four short double-helical elements and three loops (D, anti-codon, and T loops). RNAcentral also lists the same sequence under 27 other names. The record is from RNAcentral. Lineage: Bacteria; Bacillati; Actinomycetota; Actinomycetes; Micromonosporales; Micromonosporaceae.